RNAcentral lists this ribosomal RNA (468 nucleotides) under uncultured bacterium. RNAcentral's name for it is "partial 16S ribosomal RNA". It matches the Rfam family "Bacterial small subunit ribosomal RNA", at positions 28 to 507 of the family's 1533-position model. The record is from RNAcentral.
GACGAACGCUGGCGGCGUGCUUAACACAUGCAAGUCGAACGGAAAGGCCCUGCUUUUGUGGGGUGCUCGAGUGGCGAACGGGUGAGUAACACGUGAGUAACCUGCCCUUGACUUUGGGAUAACUUCAGGAAACUGGGGCUAAUACCGGAUAGGAGCUCCUGCUGCAUGGUGGGGGUUGGAAAGUUUCGGCGGUUGGGGAUGGACUCGCGGCUUAUCAGCUUGUUGGUGGGGUAGUGGCUUACCAAGGCUUUGACGGGUAGCCGGCCUGAGAGGGUGACCGGCCACAUUGGGACUGAGAUACGGCCCAGACUCCUAUGGGAGGCAGCAGUGGGGAAUAUUGUACAAUGGGCGGAAGCCUGAUGCAGCAACGCCGCGUGCGGGAUGACGGCCUUCGGGUUGUAAACCGCUUUCGCCUGUUACGAAGCGGGAGUGACGGUAAUGGGUAAAGAAGCACCGGCUAACUACGUG